UUUAUUGGAGAGUUUGAUCCUGGCUCAGGAUGAACGCUGGCGGCGUGCCUAAUACAUGCAAGUCGAGCGAAUGAAUUAAGAGCUUGCUCUUAUGAAGUUAGCGGCGGACGGGUGAGUAAUACGUGGGUAACCUGCCCAUAAGACUGGGAUAACUCCGGGAAACCGGGGCUAAUACCGGAUAACAUUUUGAACCGCAUGGUUCGGAAUUGAAAGGCGGCUUCGGCUGUCACUUAUGGAUGGACCCGCGUCGCAUUAGCUAGUUGGUGAGGUAACGGCUCACCAA
This 283-nucleotide ribosomal RNA is filed under the name Bacillus thuringiensis serovar medellin. RNAcentral's name for it is "partial 16S ribosomal RNA". It matches the Rfam family "Bacterial small subunit ribosomal RNA", at positions 1 to 271 of the family's 1533-position model. The record is from RNAcentral. Lineage: Bacteria; Bacillati; Bacillota; Bacilli; Caryophanales; Bacillaceae.